Molecule: transfer RNA, 71 nt
Filed under: Folsomia candida
Lineage: Eukaryota; Metazoa; Arthropoda; Collembola; Entomobryomorpha; Isotomidae
Rfam family: tRNA
About the family: Transfer RNA (tRNA) molecules are approximately 80 nucleotides in length. Their secondary structure includes four short double-helical elements and three loops (D, anti-codon, and T loops).
Source: Rfam by way of RNAcentral
GCCCCAGUAGCUCAGUGGCAGAGCACUUGACAUGAAUUCAAGGGAGCCGUGGUUCAAUUCCCGGCUGGGUA